This is a non-coding RNA of Serendipita sp. 399, 109 nucleotides long. The record is from the annotation of a GenBank genome assembly. NCBI's taxonomy places the organism in Eukaryota, Fungi, Basidiomycota, Agaricomycetes, Sebacinales, Serendipitaceae.
GCAACUGUGGCCGAGCGGUUAAGGCGUGAGAUUCAAGAGAAAUCUCUUUCCAGAUUUUCUGGAAUUCCUCAUGACGAAAGUCGCGUGGGUUCAAAUCCCACCGGUUGCA